RNAcentral lists this ribosomal RNA (484 nucleotides) under uncultured bacterium. RNAcentral's name for it is "partial 16S ribosomal RNA". It matches the Rfam family "Bacterial small subunit ribosomal RNA", at positions 30 to 507 of the family's 1533-position model. The record is from RNAcentral.
AUUGAACGCUGGCGGCAGGCCUAACACAUGCAAGUCGAGCGGAUGAAGGGAGCUUGCUCCUGGAUUCAGCGGCGGACGGGUGAGUAAUGCCUAGGAAUCUGCCUGGUAGUGGGGGAUAACGUCCGGAAACGGGCGCUAAUACCGCAUACGUCCUGAGGGAGAAAGUGGGGGAUCUUCGGACCCCACGCUAUCAGAUGAGCCUAGGUCGGAUUAGCUAGUUGGUGGGGUAAAGGCCUACCAAGGCGACGAUCCGUAACUGGUCUGAGAGGAUGAUCAGUCACACUGGAACUGAGACACGGUCCAGACUCCUACGGGAGGCAGCAGUGGGGAAUAUUGGACAAUGGGCGAAAGCCUGAUCCAGCCAUGCCGCGUGUGUGAAGAAGGUCUUCGGAUUGUAAAGCACUUUAAGUUGGGAGGAAGGGCAGUAAGUUAAUACCUUGCUGUUUUGACGUUACCAACAGAGUAAGCACCGGCUAACUUCGUG